GAUGAAGAACGUAGCGAAAUGCGAUAAGUAAUGUGAAUUGCAGAAUUCAGUGAAUCAUCGAAUCUUUGAACGCACAUUGCGCCCGCCAGUAUUCUGGCGGGCAUGCCUGUUCGAGCGUCAUUUCAACCAUCAAGCCCCGGCUUGUGUUGGGGACCUGCGGCUGCCGCAGGCCCUGAAAUGCAGUGGCGGGCUCGCUGUCACUCCGAGCGUAGUAGUUACAUCUCGCUCUGGGCGUGCUGCGGGUUCCGGCCGUUAAAAGCCUUAUUUACCCAAGGUUGACCUCGGAUCAGGUAGGAAGACCCGCUGAACUUAAGCAUAUCAAUAAGCGGAGGA
This 333-nucleotide unclassified non-coding RNA is filed under the name soil metagenome. RNAcentral's name for it is "partial contains 5.8S ribosomal RNA, internal transcribed spacer 2, and large subunit ribosomal RNA". The stretch from base 1 to 120 matches the Rfam family "5.8S ribosomal RNA", at positions 35 to 154 of the family's 154-position model. The record is from RNAcentral.